This 676-nucleotide ribosomal RNA is filed under the name uncultured Oscillospiraceae bacterium. Its description in RNAcentral is "bacterial SSU rRNA". It matches the Rfam family "Bacterial small subunit ribosomal RNA", at positions 9 to 700 of the family's 1533-position model. Lineage: Bacteria; Bacillati; Bacillota; Clostridia; Eubacteriales; Oscillospiraceae. The record is from RNAcentral.
GAGUUUGAUCAUGGCUCAGGACGAACGCUGGCGGCGUGCCUAACACAUGCAAGUCGAACGAAGCUUUUGAUUUCGGUUGAGAGCUUAGUGGCGGACGGGUGAGUAACGCGUGAGUAACCUGCCUUACAGAGGGGGAUAACGUCUGGAAACGGACGCUAAUACCGCAUGACAUUUCUUUAUCACAUGGUAAAGAAAUCAAAGGAGCAAUCCGCUGUAAGAUGGACUCGCGUCCGAUUAGCUAGAUGGUGAGAUAACAGCCCACCAUGGCGACGAUCGGUAGCCGGACUGAGAGGUUGAACGGCCACAUUGGGACUGAGACACGGCCCAGACUCCUACGGGAGGCAGCAGUGGGGGAUAUUGCACAAUGGAGGAAACUCUGAUGCAGCAACGCCGCGUGAAGGAUGAAGGUCUUCGGAUUGUAAACUUUUGUACUUGGGGACGAUAAUGACGGUACCCAAGCAGCAAGCUCCGGCUAACUACGUGCCAGCAGCCGCGGUAAUACGUAGGGAGCAAGCGUUGUCCGGAUUUACUGGGUGUAAAGGGUGCGUAGGCGGCUAUGCAAGUCAGUUGUGAAAACUAUGGGCUCAACCCAUAGCCUGCAAUUGAAACUGCGUAGCUUGAGUGAAGUAGAGGUAGGUGGAAUUCCCGGUGUAGCGGUGAAAUGCGUAGAGAUCGG